GGUAGCGGGGCUCAAGCACACCGCCGAAGCCGCGGCAAUACCGCAAGGUAUUGGGUAGGGGAGCGUCCUGCAUCCGGUGAAGCAGCCGUGUGAACGAGUUGUGGAGGGUGUGGGAGUGAGAAUGCAGGCAUGAGUAGCGAUAAGGCAAGUGAGAACCUUGCCCGCCGAAUGACCAAGGGUUCCUGGGGCAGGCCAGUCCGCCCAGGGUGAGUCGGGACCUAAGGCGAGGCCGACAGGCGUAGUCGAUGGACAACGGGUUGAUAUUCCCGUACCCGUGUGUGAGCGUCCCUGAUGAAUCAUCGGUACUAACCAUCCAAAACCACCGUGACCAAUCCCUUCGGGGUGCGGCGUUGGUGGGGCUGCGUGGGAACUUCGGUGGUAGUAGUCAAGCGAUGGGGUGACGCAGGAAGGUAGCCGUACCAGUCAGUGGUUGUACUGGGGUAAGCCUGUAGGACGACAUCUAGGCAAAUCCGGAUGUCAUAUGUCUGAGAGGUGAUGCAUAGCCGUUUGAGGCGAAUUCGGUGAUCCUAUGCUGCCAAGAAAAACCUCUAGCGAGCCAACACACGGCCCGUACCCCAAACCAACACAGGUGGUCAGGUAGAGAAUACUAAGGCGUACGAGUGAACUAUGGUUAAGGAACUCGGCAAAAUACCCCCGUAACUUCGGGAGAAGGGGGACCCACAUACCGUCAACACCCUUGCGGUGGGCAGCGGUCGUGGGUGGCACAAACCAGUGAGAAGCGACUGUUUACUAAAAACACAGGUCCGUGCGAAGUCGCAAGACGAUGUAUACGGACUGACGCCUGCCCGGUGCUGGAAGGUUAAGAGGACCGGUUAACCCUUCGGGGUGAAGCUGAGAAUUUAAGCCCCAGUAAACGGCGGUGGUAACUAUAACCAUCCUAAGGUAGCGAAAUUCCUUGUCGGGUAAGUUCCGACCUGCUCGAAUGGCGUAACGACUUCUCAACUGUCUCAACCAUAGACUCGGCGAAAUUGCACUACGAGUAAAGAUGCUCGUUACGCGCGGCAGGACGAAAAGACCCCGGGACCUUCACUACAACUUGGUAUUGAUGUUCGGUACGGUUUGUGUAGGAUAGGUGGGAGACUGUGAAGCGGGCACGCCAGUGUUUGUGGAGUCAUUGUUGAAAUACCACUCUGAUCGUAUUGGACCUCUAACCUCGGACCGCAUAUCCGGUCCAGGAACAGUGCCUGGUGGGUAGUUUAACUGGGGCGGUUGCCUCCUAAAAUGUAACGGAGGCGCCCAAAGGUUCCCUCAACCUGGACGGCAAUCAGGUGUUGAGUGUAAGUGCACAAGGGAGCUUGACUGCGAGACUUACAGGUCGAGCAGGGACGAAAGUCGGGACUAGUGAUCCGGCACCUCUGAGUGGAAGGGGUGUCGCUCAACGGAUAAAAGGUACCCCGGGGAAAAAAA
RNAcentral lists this ribosomal RNA (1428 nucleotides) under metagenome. RNAcentral's name for it is "bacterial LSU rRNA". It matches the Rfam family "Bacterial large subunit ribosomal RNA", at positions 1171 to 2480 of the family's 2925-position model. The record is from RNAcentral.